This is a long non-coding RNA of Triticum dicoccoides, 1697 nucleotides long. RefSeq lists it as uncharacterized. The record is from RefSeq and is a predicted model, not a curated record. NCBI's taxonomy places the organism in Eukaryota, Viridiplantae, Streptophyta, Magnoliopsida, Poales, Poaceae. The transcript is spliced from 7 exons.
UUCUCAACAACCGCCGCACGCAAUCUCCCCUCGUCCUCCUCGCUCUCGCCGCACCGCUCCACUCAUCUGCUCUCCCCCAUUUCUGUGUGAGAACGGCGGCUGAUUGAUUUGCGGUAGCGCCGGCGGCCUCAAGUAGGGCUAUGAGGAGGAAGGAAGACGAUUAGCACGCGGGAAGCAAGAAUAGAUCGGGGCCAGGGCGUGAGGACCACACCGUCAUCACGGCGAGCAAGCCGGCAACCCGUUCGUGUUUCUGAAGCGGUUCGGCAUCAUGGUGGCGCAGACGAAGGCCUUCUUCGAUUCCAGGCCGGCCGCAGCCACGACGUCGACGACAUCCAGAUCAAGCCCGUCAGCUCCGGCAUUUGGAUCGACCGCUGCUCCGGUGCUCUGGCGGAGCACCGACAUCACCGUAUCCAAGUUAUGGCUCAUGUUGCUGUGUAUUUGGCUGCUGGUCAUCGCCACUACCUCAGCAAAGUCACUGGCGACCAAGUGGUUCACACUAUCUCCAAAGCUUUUGAAGCAGCGUACAUGUUACAUGAAUCUGGGGCAAAAUGGUAGAUGGCGACAUGAGGUUGUAUGCCUGCAGCGCAUGUGUCAGUUAGUGAUGGUUAAUCAAGAUUGAGCAAAGGCUAGGUUCAGGUGUCGCUGUCGUGAUCUGCUUGGCAUUACUCUGGUAUAAGUUACGCAGUGGUAACCUUCCUUCUUUUGAUGGUUGUCGACACACAUCUUCAGUCACACAUACACCAUACGAGGUUUUAAAGGAGUUCUUGAUUUUCAGUUUUGGCCCUGAACUUUAGAAUCUCCAUGUCUGAAGUUAGUCCUCAUCCAACUGAGCAAUAUGCAGAGCCUCUGGUACGUGCAGCCGCGCUUCGUCGCCGCCAACGGCCUCGCCGGAAACUGGGUCGUAUCCACAUCCGGACUCAAUCUCUGCCUCGCCCUCCUUGCCGGUUUCCUUCCAAAUACUGAUAUGUAUUCAGUCUUGCUAUGUGAUGCGUUGGGAGAAUAUGAUGCGGGGAGGGGACACAACACUCCACUUCAAUUCCUGUUGUUCACAUCACGUUGUCGCCGCGCUUCGGCUGGUUCUAUUGUGCAUGCUUCUUGCUAUUUGGAAUGCAUCAUUCUUAAUUUUUUCACGUUAGCUCUUUUUUCAAACUAAUAACAUUAUUACAAGGUUAUCAACUCUUUCUUGGUGAGGAACGUUGUUGCGCAAGACAGGAGAAAGCUUGAGAGCCUGCUGCCCAAUCUCGCCAAGGCGAUCAGAUGUAGGCUUGCUUGCCACUGCUUUGCUGGUUGCUGCACUUCCAAGGGCUCAGACGCUCAGUGAGCACCUCCUCGCUGACGACCUAUUCGUCGCCAAGCUCAUCUUGGAGUGCUUCGUCGGGUCAUCACUAAUGUCUUCUCUAUUUUGAGAAGCUGCAGUUUCACCGCCUCUAGACAGGCCAUGGCGACCGCCACUGCCACUUAUAUAUAUACACAUAUAUACACUCAAUGUAGUGUGUGCUGCUUAAGCCUGUCGGAGCCGUUAACUCUGCCUUACCCUGUGAGGAACUCUGCCUCUGCAUUUGGAUAGUAUGUGCGACAUGUAUGCCUUGAUCAAAACUGCGUCCCUUUCCUUUUGAACUAGCAUAUGUGCUACACAGCUGAUUGUUACUUCUCCAAAUUUAAGCCGCUUUCAGCUCCAAGGAGGAUUACUACUCUAA